RNAcentral lists this long non-coding RNA (650 nucleotides) under Equus caballus (horse). RNAcentral describes it as "lncRNA (ENSECAG00000041743.2)". Lineage: Eukaryota; Metazoa; Chordata; Mammalia; Perissodactyla; Equidae. The record is from RNAcentral.
CAGUAGCUUACUCCUUUCACCAAAUCUGGGAAGCAAUGACUUGAAUAAGAGAUUGUCCUGGUGCUUCAGCUCAGGCCCAAGGCUCCCUUGGCUGGGAAGGCCCAAGGAAGAUGGGCCUGUCCCCAAGGAGAGCAGGGAGCAGAAGAUCGGACCUUCCGCUUCAUACCCAGGACCGAAGGAGCUGUCAGCUAGCUUGCAAAUCAUUUUUCAAUCCAUAAAAUAGCAGUCCCCGUACCAUGCAAUCAUUUUAAGAAAGAACAGUUUUUGCUCUGGAAUAUAGGAGAGAUUCUAGACUCCUUUUGCCCUUCCCCAGAUUAUCACAGCCAUAUCUGCAACCCCCAGAACAUUUGGAAAGCAAAGGAAAGUGUAAAGAAGCUGAAAAAAAUCACCCAUAAUCUUCUCAUUUAGAUUCAAUCGCAGUAAUGAGUUUGGUAUUUUUCUAUUCUAUUCUUUUCUCCGCAUUUUUUCAUUGUAUGGUCACGUUUGUACUUACAUCAGCACUGUUCAAGACACAUAUGUGAACCACAAAUAUGAGUUACAUAUGUAAUUUUAAAUGUUUUCGUAGCCUCAUUCAAGAAAAAUCAAAACAGCCAAAAUUAUUUUUAACAAUAUAUUUUAUCUAACCCAAUAGAUCCAAAAUAUUAUUUCAC